RNAcentral lists this unclassified non-coding RNA (764 nucleotides) under Hevea brasiliensis (rubber tree). Lineage: Eukaryota; Viridiplantae; Streptophyta; Magnoliopsida; Malpighiales; Euphorbiaceae. The record is from RNAcentral.
CAAUAUCUUUGAAUUCAGUAGACUGGUCAGAAAAGAAGGAGAAAUAUUAGUUCUGAUAUAGUGGCUAUAAUAAUAUAACUUAUGCUUUAAGUGUAAAAGGAAAAUACCACACCAGAGAUACAUUAGAAUACUAAAUACUACCAACAUGAAUAAAUCAAAGGAUGAUUCAUCAUAACCAAGUCAGAUAUAACACUACACAUCUAGGUGAGACAUACAUGUCCCAAACAAGGGGGGCAACAUGAGUAAAACAAAAAAUUCUUGUAAACAAAUGAGGGGGAAAAAUGGCGUGAUAAAGCUCAAGCUUGCACCCCUAUUGUCAUGACUUGUAGGUUCACUAGUCAAUGUACACAAAACUUGCUGGAAAGAAAGAAGGAAAUACAAUAAUUGAUGAAAAGUUUAGAAUUAAUGAAAUAAUGCUUAGGAUGCUAAAGUGAUACCCUUGUUGGUUUGUAAAUGAAUGUUGCUCUUAUCAUUCAUUGACCUCCUAUUUCUAAUGUUGUCCAGCAAAUAAGUUUGUCAUAGAUGCUGUAGCAUGCAAAUGCAUGUGCUGUCUAACAAUAGAGCAGCUGAAAGGUUUAUCCUGGUGCAUGUAAUUAUUAAGGGAAAAAAGAAUGAAACAGCCUUUACAAUAUGCAGGACACAUAGCAGCAGCUCAAUUGAGUUAUCUUGUCUCCAUUCACUUUUGUAGAUUAAUAAUAAAAUAUCAAACCUUUGAAAGUAGUGUAGUGUGCAAAUUUCUUAAAUUUGGUAUUAAUCUUGAAUUU